This 354-nucleotide ribosomal RNA is filed under the name uncultured eukaryote. Its description in RNAcentral is "partial 18S ribosomal RNA". It matches the Rfam family "Eukaryotic small subunit ribosomal RNA", at positions 592 to 975 of the family's 1831-position model. The record is from RNAcentral.
CAAAAGUGUAUCUUAAUGUUGUUGCAGUUAAAAAGCUCGUAGUUGAACCUCUGGCGUUCCCGCAGUCCCUUCUGGGACUAUACGGGGGCGUCAUCCGCUUGGAAAGGCAUUCUGUGGGAAACCACGUGUGUCGGAACAGGCAUUUUACUUUGAAGAAAUUAGAGUGUUCCAGGCAGGCCUUUGCUUGAAUAUAUCAGCAUGGAAUAAUGGAAUAGGAUUACUCCUUUGGUUUUAGGAGUUUUAAUGAUUAACAGGGACAGUUGGGGGCAUUCGUAUUCAUUUGUCAGAGGUGGAAUUCUUGGAUUAGAUGAAGACGAACUAAUGCGAAAGCAUUUGCCAAGGAUGUUUUCAUUA